AAAUGAGUAUCUUGUAUUUUUGACCCAUGCUCUUGGAAUACAUGAAACAAAUCCUAUGAACUUAUUCAAAACAUUUCAAAAAGUGAUUCGUCCUUCGUCAAUUCUGGAAGUCUUGUAUGUCAUAAAGGAAACGUUUACAGAUGUUCACAAUCUACAUGCAAACAUAGGAACUUUCGGUUAAUAAUUAAUAUCCUUGUUUUCAGCACAAUUUGUGUUUACAUACCUAGUAUUGUCGAGGAAUAAAAGAUUAAUUUACUAUCUGCAAUAAUAUUUUGAAAAGACUGUUUGGGCAAUGCCCACCCUGGAAUUUGCCUCUAGCUACGGGCCUGGUUUUAUGCAAAAUUGUUU
Molecule: long non-coding RNA, 348 nt
Organism: Bradysia coprophila
Lineage: Eukaryota; Metazoa; Arthropoda; Insecta; Diptera; Sciaridae
Source: RefSeq, a predicted model, not a curated record